GCAGCGCCCCACUCAACAAAGCUUCCCGCGGGCCCUGCCCCAUGACUCACCGCUGGGUGGGGCGGGCACGCAGGCAACCCGCGGGCCGAGACAGGGUAGUGAGGGCCGGAAGCCCGGCUCCCGACUCCGCUUCGCCCCCAUAACCUCCGGCCGCCUGAAGUCCUGAGGGGCCGUGGCCCUGGGUCGUCUCCCCUGUUCCCAGCCUCCAGUCGCAGCUGGCGGAGAGAAGUUCCCGAGGCCCCCCCCACUUGCAAGGUCCCUUGCCCCGCCCAGAGCUGAGCCUUCCGAGGAUCUGAGGACCGAGUCCAGCCCAGCUCCCAGGAGGGGCCGGGAUCCUGGGGCAGGGAAUGAGGGGCAGGGGCUGGCUGUAAAGUCGGGCGGGAGAGGGGCACUAACCGAGAUGGGGGCUGAGCCUCCGGUCUGGGAGCUUCGGGAGGCGCGUGGCGGGAUGGAAAACAUUCCUGAGACCGUUGGAUUGGAUUUCCGAAUUUGGGAGGCUAGGACUCCGGCUACGGUGGCUCUGCUCUUGGGAUGAGAGGACUGGGCCCAGCUUGCGAGGAAUCAUGAAGUGGACACAGGGUGGGAACGUGAAUUUUAAUGAGGGGGCAGACCGAGGAGGUGGUGGCUGCCCGGAGAUCAGGGCCAGGCUCUGCUAGAUGGCGCCUGGAAGGGGGGUCACCCAAGUCUCCCUGCUGUCAUUUCAGGAGGCCGAAUUUUUUCCCGAUCCCAGAGAAGGUGUCAGAGGCCUGGUUAGCAGUCUUGUCGAUGGUUUCCUGGGUGGUCUUGGCCAGCUGGUCCAUGGCUGGGGAAGGGCGGGAGAGAGGGCAGGUCAGGCAGGGCCCCGGGAACCACAGUGCACGUAGGCUUAGCCUGGCCUGGGUCUCCCGGGGGACCUGCUUGGGGCAUUGUGGACAGAGGGCUCUGCAGAGGAGAGGAUGUGCCUGGGCCCCAGCCGGGAUGGGGCGGGGAGUGGGAGGUGUGCUGGGGUUGCCCGCCUCCCUCCAGCCCCACCAGACCUUUCUGCCCCGCCUCUGUGGCCUGGUCCACCACUUGCUGAGCUGCCGCUCCGGCCGCUGACACUGGAACAGAGAGAUGUGGCUUUUAGCCCCUGUUGAGGCACCACCGACUACAGGUGCCCCACCAUUGCCAUGCCUCUGUGUGCUCCAGAGUAUUCGGUGGUACAGGUCCAAGGGAUGGAUGCCAUGGAGAUAAAGUCCCUGGCCCAGGGCCCCCCAGCCCGAGGGGCAGGAGACCUUUCCAUGCCUCUGGGAUGUUUUUGUUUAUUUCUAACUCUGAGCUCCUUCUCUGUGGGGGAGGAGCUUCCCUUUCCGUCUCCAGGGCUGCUGAGAAAAUGUUGGACAGAGGAAGGAAGGCAGGGCAGGGCCAGGCUGCAGCUAGCAUCUGGACUGUUGGCUAAGGCUGGUGAUGGCACAGAAGACCCUUGCCCCCUUUUACAGCUUCUCGCCUAGAAGCCUGGCCCAGAUGCCUGAAUUCCCACCUUCCAUGCACUUAGCCCUGGGGCUUGCAGUUUUGCCAGGUCCUUACUGCCUCCUCCCUCCUGUGGCCUGCCCGGAGGGGCACACAAGCAAAGCCAGUGCCUCUGUGGACAGGCAGCUUAAGACAUUAGGAGACAAAUGAAGGAAGGAGGCAAAACUUCCAAGGCCGGACUAUCUCCUCUGGACCAGAGUUUCGGCCUGCUGGGAAUGGAGUCACCAGCCCCGGGGGGGCUGACAGGUGGCUCCCGCCUGCAGAGCUGUAACUCAUCCCUGCUGCUGAACAGGAAAGGGCCUGCCUUACCCAGACCCCAUCCUCCAGAAAGGCUCUCAGAUGGAAAAGUGAAGCCCAGAAGGAAGGGACCUGACACGGAGGCUUCCUUGGUAGCGUUUCAGUCUCAAGGGAAGAACUGUGGGCCUCCCCUGGAGCACUGGUGAAGGAAGGGGUUGGUUUGGAUAUUGUCUCCUGACUGGGAUAUGGGCAGGACUGACAGGGAGCUGGAGUCCUAACGAAGCCUGGGCUAGGUGCAGGAAGAACCAACCCAGUGGUCUCCUGACAUCUCCCAUGCCCCCACCGCAGCUGGGUCACCUCCGGAAUAAGGAAGAGAGAGCUGGAGGUGGAGGAACUAAGGACCUUCUUUGCCAGGUGGGGACUUAAAGGUAAGGCGACGAUUACUUUUCGGCGAUGGGGGUGGGAUGGAAACAAAGCCCUUAGAGGUCUGGGGCAGCCUCUGGUGGCGCGCGCGGGUUAAGUGGUGGCGGGCCGCGCCCGGUCCCGGUCCUGGACCUUCACCCUCUCCUGAGGGCCUGGGCGGGCCGCCCAGCGCCCGCAUGGCCUCCUCGGAGGGGCUCCCGCAGUGCCCGCAGCGCAGCUCCGGCUCCUCCGGAGCCUCUGUUCCGCUGCCUCCCUGCGGGCACCAUCUCUCUGCUCGCCGGGGUGGGCGUUCUGCCUGCCCCCUGCGUCUCAGUGGAGGACCGAGCCUUCCGAGCCAAGCUGCCGGUCCAGGAACUUGCGGACCGCGCCGACCCGCUGCUUCUGCCUGCGCAUCCACGCAGGUGCCCCUGCCUGAGCCCUAGGUCGCGCGCUAUCCUCACCGGCUUCCUGGGCGGUCCCCUCCACCUGUUGCUUCAGGUCCUGCAAGCCCUUGCUUGCCAUGGCUUUGGGGUAUCUGUGGAGUCGUCAAGAGCAGCUGGAGCGAUGUUGGAUCCUGCCCAGAGUGGCGAUGCCAAGCGCCAGCUCCAGUUUUUAAGGCGCCCCAGGGCUGGCCUGCCCCGCGUAGGGGAGAGGGCGCGGGGCGGUUCCCGUCAUACAGGCUCCGGGGAGUGGCCGGGCCCUGCUCCAGAGUCCGCAGGGCAGGGAGCACAUCCUGGCCUAAGACGGGCCGCGGUGGGAAAGGGGCAGACCGAACCAGGGACCGAAGAGGUGCUAGGACAGGGGUCCAGAGAGGAGCUGGAGGCAGGAGAAGGGGGCACACCACCUCCCAGCUCAUCAGCCCCAGCCCUCCCUUUCUGAUCCUGGGCGUGAGCGCUGGGUCAGCUCCAAGGCAGGAGCUCAGGGCUGGUGUUGACAUUAAUGACAGCAGUGGUCUUUUACUGAGCAUUUGUCUUGUGCCAGGUGCUGCCUAACGCUCUGCAGUCUGUUGUAUAAUCUUUACAACCACCUCCUGAAGUGGGUAUUUUUGUUAAUAGCAUCAGUGUAUAGGAGGAAACUGAGGCAGUGAGGUCGGUCUCACCCAAACGCAUGUGGCAGGGACUUGGAUCCUCGAAUCUGCCUAGGUGCCUGUAAACCCUAGGGCUCUGGCAUCAUCGGAGCCCCCAGCCCCAAACAGCUGCAGGGGCACUGCUGACUGGCUCUCUGCCUGUAGCCAGAGACCCAGUGGAUGCAGACGGAGAGGGCCUGGUAAAUCCUUCCCCUGAGAGGGUGAGAUAUAGCAUACAGUGAAGUUGUUCUCUGAAAUUCCUCAUCUGCCUUAAGUCUGGACCCAUCAAAGAAGAAAACAAUGACCACUGGUCCUUUCCCAGAGUUUUCUCUGACUGAACUCCUGUCACAGGAAGAAAGACUGAAGCCUGCUCACACACCUGGACAGAUUUUGCAAACCGUUGUCUGCUCUGUGAGCCCAACAGACUUUGUCCCAGGCCACUGUAUGUUCUUCAAGCCCACUGAAUUCCCCUGAAAAUCAUUUACUAGCCCCCUGAAAUUACCCACACUUCCUCAUUGCUCAUCUGUACCCCAUUUCGUGGUGGGGCAGUCACUCUGAUUUCCCCUUGCAUGCUAAUGAAUGUGUAUUCCAUUUC
RNAcentral lists this non-coding RNA (3788 nucleotides) under Pan troglodytes (chimpanzee). Lineage: Eukaryota; Metazoa; Chordata; Mammalia; Primates; Hominidae. The record is from RNAcentral.